ACGGAGGGUGCAAGCGUUAAUCGGAUUUAUUGGGCGUAAAGAGCACGUAGGCUGAGUGGAAAGUUAGAUGUGAAAUCCCGGGGCUCAACUCCGGACCCGCAACUAAAACUCCCACUCUAGAGGAUGGUCGGAGAAAAGGGAAUUCCACGUGUAGCGGUGAAAUGCGUAGAUAUGUGGAAGAACACCGGUGGCGAAGGCGCUUUUCUAGAUUAUUCCUGACGCUGAGGAGCGAAAGCAAGGGGAGCAAACA
Molecule: ribosomal RNA, 250 nt
Filed under: uncultured bacterium
Lineage: Bacteria
Description: partial 16S ribosomal RNA
Rfam family: Bacterial small subunit ribosomal RNA
Source: RNAcentral